CGGGGAGAGCCCGGGCCUUGCUCCCCGCUCGUGUGGCCGCAGCGGAGCCUGGGCCUUGCUCCCCGCUUGUGUGGCCGCAGCGGAGCCCGAGCAUCGCCGCCGGUGGAGCAGCCCGGGCUGCGGGCCGGGCCACACGCGUGGGAAAAACCGCGGAGUUCUGUAAAAAUCCACCCAAAACAGCGAUGUGUGCGCAAUGACGCGGCUGGGGGAGCGGAGAAAGCUUCAGGGAGAGCUCAGAGCCCCUUCCAGGGCCUAAAGGGGAUUCAGGAGAGCUGGAGAGGGACCGAGGACAAGGGAUGGAGGGACAGGACACAGGGAAUGGCUUUAAACUGACAGUGGGGAGAUUUAGAUGGGAUUUGGGAAGGAAUUCCUGGUUGGAAGGGUGGGCAGGGGCUGGGCUGGAAUUCCCAGAGCAACUGUGGCUGCCCCUGGAUCCCCGACAGUGCCCAAGGCCAGGUUGGACAUUGGGGCUUGGAGCAGCCUGGGACAGUGGGAGGUGUCCCUGCCAUGGCAGGGGUAGAACUGGAUCAGCUUUAAGGUCCUUUCCAACUCUUAGCGAUUCCGUGAUUCUAUAAAAAUCAAAGGCACCUUUGCACUGACUUCAUAGACAACAGAUUUAUCCCCCUGGUUUAACUAUUUGUAUUCAUUUUCUACCAGUGGAAGGUGUCCCUGUCGUGGCAGGGGUGGCACUGGACGGGAUUUAAGGUCCCUCCAACCCAAACCAUUCUGAGAUUUUGACAUUUGCGAAGUUGGGGACAGAGAAUUAGGAGCCAAAUGUAGAAGGAGAAGCAUUUGGGACAGGAUGGUAUUUCCCCAGGACUGGAACAUCUGUCUGCAGUUGUCUUCCAGCACCAAGCACGUGAAUUUGCAUCCAAGUAAACUGGGGCUUAAACCGACACGUGAACUUUGCGGUCAAAGAUUAUGAUGGGGUGGGAUGGAAAAACUGAAAAGGAAGGGUUUUAUUAAAUGCCUUGAGAUGUCAAUUCACAACUGUUUCAGCCUGGAUUAAAUUCCUUGUUAAGGACUAA
Molecule: long non-coding RNA, 1028 nt
Organism: Hirundo rustica (Barn swallow)
Lineage: Eukaryota; Metazoa; Chordata; Aves; Passeriformes; Hirundinidae
Exons: 2
Source: RefSeq, a predicted model, not a curated record